Molecule: ribosomal RNA, 425 nt
Filed under: Haptophyta environmental samples
Lineage: Eukaryota; Haptophyta
Description: SSU rRNA
Rfam family: Eukaryotic small subunit ribosomal RNA
Source: RNAcentral
UCCUGACACAGGGAGGUAGUGACAAGAAAUAACAAUACAGGGCUCUCUGAGUCUUGUAAUUGGAAUGAGUACAAUUUACAUCUCUUCACGAGGAUCAAUUGGAGGGCAAGUCUGGUGCCAGCAGCCGCGGUAAUUCCAGCUCCAAUAGCGUAUAUUAAAGUUGUUGCAGUUAAAACGCUCGUAGUCGGAUUUCGGGGCGGGGCCGCCGGUCUGCCGAUAGGUAUGCACUGGCGGGCGCGUCCUUUUUCCCGGAGACGGCUGCUACUCUUAACUGAGCGGUGGUCGGAGACGGGAUGUUUACUUUGAAAAAAUCAGAGUGUUUCAAGCAGGCAGUCGCUCUUGCAUGGAUUAGCAUGGGAUAAUGAAAUAGGACUCUGGUGCUAUUUUGUUGGUUUUGAGCACCGGAGUAAUGAUUAACAGGGACA